Molecule: ribosomal RNA, 234 nt
Filed under: uncultured Haemophilus sp.
Lineage: Bacteria; Pseudomonadati; Pseudomonadota; Gammaproteobacteria; Pasteurellales; Pasteurellaceae
Description: partial 16S ribosomal RNA
Rfam family: Bacterial small subunit ribosomal RNA
Source: RNAcentral
AUUGAACGCUGGCGGCAGGCUUAACACAUGCAAGUCGAACGGUAGCAGGAGAAAGCUUGCUUUCUUGCUGACGAGUGGCGGACGGGUGAGUAAUGCUUGGGAAUCUGGCUUAUGGAGGGGGAUAACUACGGGAAACUGUAGCUAAUACCGCGUAAUAUCGAAAGAUUAAAGUGUGGGACCUUCGGGCCACAUGCCAUAAGAUGAGCCCAAGUGGGAUUAGGUAGUUGGUGGGGU